RNAcentral lists this ribosomal RNA (483 nucleotides) under uncultured bacterium. RNAcentral describes it as "partial 16S ribosomal RNA". It matches the Rfam family "Bacterial small subunit ribosomal RNA", at positions 28 to 506 of the family's 1533-position model. The record is from RNAcentral.
AUUGAACGCUGGCGGCAUGCUUUACACAUGCAAGUCGAACGGCAGCGCGGGCUUCGGCCUGGCGGCGAGUGGCGAACGGGUGAGUAAUGCAUCGGAACGUGCCCAGUAGUGGGGGAUAGCCCGGCGAAAGCCGGAUUAAUACCGCAUACGACCUGAGGGUGAAAGCGGGGGACCGAAAGGCCUCGCGCUAUUGGAGCGGCCGAUGUCGGAUUAGCUAGUUGGUGGGGUAAAGGCUUACCAAGGCGACGAUCCGUAGCUGGUCUGAGAGGACGACCAGCCACACUGGGACUGAGACACGGCCCAGACUCCUACGGGAGGCAGCAGUGGGGAAUUUUGGACAGUGGGGGCAACCCUGAUCCAGCCAUGCCGCGUGCGGGAAGAAGGCCUUCGGGUUGUAAACCGCUUUUGUUCGGGAAGAAAUCCUCUGGGCUAAUACCCCGGGGGGAGGACGGUACCGGAAGAAUAAGCACCGGCUAACUACGU